Molecule: long non-coding RNA, 2831 nt
Organism: Ficedula albicollis (Collared flycatcher)
Lineage: Eukaryota; Metazoa; Chordata; Aves; Passeriformes; Muscicapidae
Source: Ensembl
CAGCACUUUGCAUCCUAAAAAUCUGACCCCCGAAAGAACAGACACGGGGACAGUCCUGGAUCUCGGGGGGACAGGGAUGGAGGAGCUUCCCGGGGAUCAGGGGGCAUUUGGGGAUUUUGGGGGGGAGCACAGGGAUGGAGGAACUUCCCGGGGAGCAGAGAGAAUUUGGGGAUUUUAGGGAUUUUGGGGAGCACAGGGAUGCAGGAGCUUCCCAGGGAUCACAGGGGAGGUUUUUGGGAUGCAGGAGCUUCCCGGGGGACCGGAGAGGGUUUUUUGGGGAGCACAGGGAUGAGCUCAGCCCCCAGCCCCGAGCACUCCCACCAUCUGCCUUUCCCAGGCAGGCGCUCAGGAAACUUCUCCCGGCUCCAAUUGCUGCGCUCCACCUUUUAUUCUAAUGAAUUCCGCAUCGCCAUCCGGGACCCCGGGGCUCGCAGGUACCGCAUCCCCGGGGAGCAGAACCGGGCUGGGACGGGGGAUUCCCUGCCCGGGACCCCGGGGCUCGCAGGUACCGCAUCCCCGGGGAGCAGAACCGGGCUGGGACGGGGGAUUCCCUGCCCGGGACCCCGGGGCUCGCAGGUACCGCAUCCCCGGGGAGCAGAACCGGGCUGGGACGGGGGAUUCCCUGCCCGGGACCCCGGGGCUCGCAGGUACCGCAUCCCCGGGGAGCAGAACCGGGCUGGGACGGGGGAUUCCCUGCCCGGGACCCCCAACCCGGGUUGGGGUGCAGGAAAUGUUCCAGCUGUGCUGCCCAGGCUGGGUUUGGGGUGGGAGCAGCUUUUGCUGGGGCUCGGAUGGGUUUGGGAGAAGCUUGGGAUUUGGGGAAAUCCAUCCCAGCUUGGCCGGGGUUGGGCUGAGCCUCCCCCUGCGCUGCUCCAAACGGGGUGGGACAUCCCAAACACUCCCUGGGGCUCGGAUCUGCCCGGAUCCAGGGCCCAUCUCCCCCAGGGUGCUGGAUCCAGGCAGGAUUCCAGCCCGGAGAGGCACCCACGGGAAGAGAGAGGCGCGGGAGCCCUUCCCGUUAUCCACAGGAAACUGCCCCGCAGUUUUGAGCAGGGUUUGGAAUGUGAGGGGACACCCGACAUCCAGGGAAUCCUGACAAAUCCCAGAAAUCCUUCCUGGGCGCGGUCCGGACCCAGGGCAGGGUCUGUCCUGGGUUUUGGAUCCCUUUGUCCAUCCCGCAGGGCUGGGGGAGCCCCUGGAUCCUGCCGGGUCCUUGGGAAGGGCAGCACUGCCCGCUCCCGGCUGUGCCCGGCUCUCCAGGCUGCGAUGGAUGCAGGGGGUUUGGGAACAGCCAGGCUGCAGGUGGAGAGUGGCUUCCUGAGCUUGCCAAAAAAUCCUGAAUUCCCUGUGAGCCUCCCGGCCCUUCCCUGUGCCUGUUGCUGCAUCCUGGGGCCGUUUUCUCCUCCUCCCUCUCUGCUUUCCCCACAUCCAGUUCCUUCUCCUUCACCAUCUGUUUUUCCACAUCCAAUUCCUCCUCCGUCACCAUCUCUGCUUCCCCCACACCCGAUUCCUCCUCCCUCACCAUCUCAGCUUUCCCCAUGGCCAAUUCUCCAUCCCUCACCGUCUCUCUCGUGCCAAUUCCUGCUCCCUCACCAUCUCUGCUUUCCCUGUGGCCAAUUCCUUCUCCUUUACCAUCUCUCCUAUGCCUGUAUCCAAAUCUCUCUCCCUCACCAUCUCUCUCAUAUCCAAUUCUCCCUCCCUCACCAUCUCUCCCAUAUCCAAUUCUCUCUCCCUCACCAUCUCUCCCAUAUCCAAUUCUCUCUCCCUCACCAUCUCUCCCAUAUCCAAUUCUCUCUCCCUCACCAUCUCUCCCAUAUCCAAUUCUCUCUCCCUCACCAUCUCUCCCAUAUCAAAUUCUCCCUCCCUCACCAUCUCUCCCAUAUCCAAUUCUCUCUCCCUCACCAUCUCUCCCAUAUCCAAUUCUCUCUCCCUCACCAUCUCUCCCAUAUCCAAUUCUCUCUCCCUCACCAUCUCUCCCAUAUCCAAUUCUCUCUCCCUCACCAUCUCUCCCAUAUCCAAUUCUCUCUCCCUCACCAUCUCUCCCAUAUCCAAUUCUCUCUCCCUCACCAUCUCUCCCAUAUCCAAUUCUCUCUCCCUCACCAUCUCUCCCAUAUCCAAUUCUCUCUCCCUCACCAUCUCUCCCAUAUCCAAUUCUCCCUCCCUCACCAUCUCUCCCACGCCAAUUCCUGCUCCCUCACUGUCUCUGUUUCCCCUCCAGGAGCUCUGUGCUCGGCCAGGAGCCGAUCCCGAGGGGUUGCCCAUGGAAUAGGCUCUUUUCCCGGUGCCUGGGCACAGCGGGAGGCUGGAGUUUGUGCCCUGAUCACGCCCUGCCCCGGAGCCCCCGGCCUCUGCCAUGAAUGAUGCGUCCACCAUGGAUUAUGAACUGCUCUCCCCGUCCCUGGUGGAGCACCCCGCCGGCGCCGCGGGCAUGGACGCCGAGCAGAAAACCGUGUUUGCCUUCGUCAUCUUCCUGCUGGUGUUCCUGGUGAUGCUCAUGGUGCGCUGCUUCCGCAUCCUGCUGGACCCCUACAGCCGCAUGCCCGCCUCCUCCUGGACGGACCACAAGGAGGGCUUGGAGCGGGGCCAGUUCGACUACGCGCUGGUGUGAGGGCGGGGGGCUCGGGGCAGCCCGGGGUGGGGCCGGGACAGCCCCAGGGUGGGCUCAGGGCACCCCAGGGUGGGCUUGGAGCAGCCCCAGGGGGGCUUGGAGCACUCCAGAGUGGCUUGGGGCAGCCCAAGAGUGCCCCCCCCCCCCCCCCCCCCCCCCCCCCCCCCCCCCCCCCCCCCCCCCCCCCCCCCCCCCCCCCCCCCCCCCCCCCCCCCCCCCCCCC